AAAAUCAAAAUUACCUAUAGCUCUUCUCAAACUUUUUCAGAAGUCAGGUUCUGUGAUUCCAUAAACCCAUUCCUCUUUCUCUCUCUCUUAAACUGUGAAACCCUAUCUCUACUCAUCUCUACGCUCGAAUCCACGAACCCAACUUUCAACCACCAAAAAUGGCCGAAUCUCUAGACAUCCCUCGACGAUAUCAUCAAAAACAACAAGAAAUCCAGAGGAGGAUUCAAGGGCAGAGGCCGUGGCCGAGCCACUACAACUGGUAGAGGAGGCUUUGCUGCCUCUGGCCUAGGUCCAGCUCGUCGCUUCCCCAACCGUGCUCCCACUAGGACGACGUCGUAUUUAACUCCUCAGAUGGCUUAAGUGCAGCAACUGAUAGCGAUUGGAGGGGCGGGAGCCAAAUCUGGGGCGAAGAUUUAUGUUUCCAACGAGGAUAUAAAGGUAUAUUCAUUCUCUGUCACCUAUACUAAUAUAUGUAGUAGGUUCACUCUACUUUACCAUUGAUGUUUUUUUGGUCAAUGGCAAUGUUAUUAAGCUCAAACCAACGAAGAACAAGAGGACCAAGUCCUUGCACAACUAUGAAACCCAGAAACACAAAAAAAAAAAAAAAACCAAACAACUAUCGAACCACAAAACCAUUUGGGAGGAAAAAAUCUUCCUACUGAUUUUCCAAGCAACAGCAAUGGUGAGAUUUUGGGACGAGGACUUAACUCAUCUCCAGGAACUAAUACAGGCACGAUAUCGUCAAUGAUGAUAACUUGCAAAGAAGAACAAUCCAAGCUCCGGUUCUGGAAGACCCUUUCAUUGCUCUCCCUCUAAAGCCAGUACGUUGUGGCAGCAAAAGACAAUUUGAAAACCGUAUGAGCCAUAGAAUUCCCACCUUUGAAUUGCUUAGCCCAACACAGGACCUUAUGUAACUCCACUGGACCAUUUUAUAAUCCCAUUGUAGACCAGAAUAGAAGACCAGACUUGUGUAGAAUAACCACACGUGAAAAACAAAUGAGCGUGGGAUUCAUCCUCCCUAGAGCAGAGAGCACAUUUAGGGCGUGUUUGAUUGCAGAUUUUGUUUUGGGGGGAUUCGUAAUGAGGUGGGAUUAGGAUUGGGAUUGAGAAUGAGGUGGGAUUAUUAAUGAGGGGAUAAAUCAUUUAUUCAUGUUUGUUUUGCACAGGAUUCGAUUGUAGGAUUGUAAAUAACAUGUUUGUUUUGGCUAGGAUUAGGAUUGGGAUUGGGAUUGAUGUGAGUUUUUACACUGGUUUUGCUCAACCCCAUGGGGAUGGGAUUCAUAGUAACACACACACCCCCCCACCCCCCCCGGUAUUGCUAAUACCCCCAUUUUGGGGGAUUAACAAUCCCAUGGGACAACUAGUCCCACCCAUAAAAACCUUACCAAAUAAGGUAUUAGGAGCCCCAUAGGAUUAUUAAUCCAAUCCCCCUUUCCCAAACCUCCUAUCAAACACGCCCUUAGGAUCCACUUGUAUACCCCAAGAGGACAAUCUAUCAUUAGUGGAAAGCCUCCCAAAGACUAAAAGUCACUGAAUAAACGUCCAUAUGACAUUUUACCAUUGAUUUUUUCCUUAUUGUUAUCUAUACCAUAUUGUUUUGGAAGAGAGACGUUAUUUGUUAGAUUGCCAUUGACUCUAAAUCAAAUAAGAAAAAGGAGAGCUACAAAGGAUGGGGUGCUGGAGUUCAAAGUUCACUAUAGUAAACUGAAGUUUGGCGCAAGUUUGUUGCUUUAUUGUUUUAAUAUUUCAAGUAUCAUUUUUUUUUUUGUUUAAUUGUGGUCCUACCCUAAUGGUCCAUGACAUGUAAUGCAUAUAUUUUUCACAUGCUCAAGUAAUUGUGCUCAAUAUCUAGAUCCAUGUGCGGGCUAAAUGGGGGAAAUUGAUAAGAACUGUAACAACAUAACAAAGGACUGAAAUGUUGGAUUAUUUGUCAUAUUCAGAGAGACUGAGAACUUAUUUAUCAGGCCAAUGGUGUAAAAUUCAAGUGGUGUAGACUUCUAGAGGUUGUCAUAUUAAUGUGCAGAGAAAUUGGAUAAAAAUUUCCUCAAUUUUGUGUACCAGCAUUAUCCAGUAGACUUUUUUUUUUGUUUUCAACACUAAACUUGGCUAUUUGCCAUAAUGCAGUAACAUUUAUUUAAGCUUCUUUCAAGUGCUAUUCUUAGAAGUUGGUCUGUUGAAGCGACAUUCAAUCCACUAUGACUGGAGAGGAAGAUCAAAGGGAACUGCGGAAGUUGUUUUUGCACAUCAAGCAGAUGCUUUAAAGGCCAUCGAGAGAUUCAACAACGUGCAGCUUGAUGGGAAACCAAUGAAAAUUGAGUUGGUUGGAGUCAGCAUUAUCACUCCUGCUACUGUUGUUCCAACUACCAAUGGCAUAUUAGGACACCACUCGAGCGCUGGUUUUGGAAGGCAAGAAACCGUCGCGAGAAUUGGAUGGGAUCGACGUGGCGGUGGCUGCCAAGGAUUUGGGAGGGGACGUGGAAGAGGCAACGGCAAUGACGGAUGUCUACUAAAGAAUUUUGAUGCUGAUUUGGAGAAGUAUCAUAUGGAAGCUAUGCAAAUAAACUGAGAGUUGUGUCCAAUUUUUAAUUCUAUCAUUCAGGGUUUUCCUUGUUCUACAAUGCCAAUCAUUGUACCCAGUUCUGCUUUGAAAUAUUACAAAUUGGAUGCAAAGUAGAUUGAUAAGCGCGGCUAUGUGCUUUUGUCUACUCUGGUGACUUUGGUGCAAGUUUUAGGCCGAGCUUAUUCUGUGCUGUGAUUGGUGUUGUGUCAGCUAUAAGAUGGUUUUAUGAUGAAGCAUCUUUAGAGGAGCAGAUGUAAACACUGGCUUCCCAGUGAACUAAUUUUAUUGCUAUGCCGAAUUAGUUGUAAGAAGCAUCUAUGCUUGUGCUAUUGAAGAUCUUUGUUAAGA
Rhododendron vialii is the source of this 2908-nucleotide long non-coding RNA. RefSeq lists it as uncharacterized. NCBI's taxonomy places the organism in Eukaryota, Viridiplantae, Streptophyta, Magnoliopsida, Ericales, Ericaceae. The transcript has 4 exons. The record is from RefSeq and is a predicted model, not a curated record.